Molecule: non-coding RNA, 96 nt
Filed under: unclassified sequences
Description: eL15-Euryarchaeota ribosomal protein leader
Rfam family: eL15-Euryarchaeota ribosomal protein leader
Source: RNAcentral
CCUGCACGGCUAGACCGCAGGUCGGGAUGUGAUCCGCGAGCGCGAUACGCUCGAGAGAGGUGACAGAUGCUGUCACCGACGCGAUUGAACCAGGAA